Molecule: ribosomal RNA, 267 nt
Filed under: uncultured bacterium
Lineage: Bacteria
Description: partial 16S ribosomal RNA
Rfam family: Bacterial small subunit ribosomal RNA
Source: RNAcentral
GUCCACGCCGUAAACGAUGAGUGCUAGGUGUCACGGGCUUUGACCCCCGUGGUGCCGUAGCUAACGCAGUAAGCACUCCGCCUGGGGAGUACGGCCGCAAGGCUAAAACUCAAAGGAAUUGACGGGGGCCCCGCACAAGCGGUGGAGCAUGUGGUUUAAUUCGACGCAACGCGCAGAACCUUACCUGGGCUAGAAAGUGCAGGAACUCGGUCGAAAGGUCGAGGUGCCCUUCGGGGAACCUGCAGUUAGGUGUUGCAUGGCUGUCGU